Arabidopsis thaliana (thale cress) is the source of this 190-nucleotide non-coding RNA. RefSeq annotates it as other RNA. The transcript has a single exon. The record is from RefSeq. Lineage: Eukaryota; Viridiplantae; Streptophyta; Magnoliopsida; Brassicales; Brassicaceae.
AGUCUGCGAGAAUACUGUCUCCCUAGUAAAACAAAAAAAAAGUGUAGCAAUCAGUAAAACUGACACAGCACAUGUCCUCAAUGAAACUGAAACAUAUCUAAACCUGAUCACACUUGGUACUCAUUUCAAAGACACUGCAUAUGAUUGCUAGUGAAUAUAUAGUUAGUUAAGAAACUAUAGCUACCAUAAA